UACGUAGGGGGCGAGCGUUGUCCGGAUUCACUGGGCGUAAAGAGCUCGUAGGUGGCUUGGUUAGUCGGGUGUGAAACCUCCAGGCUUAACCUGGAGUCGCCACUCGAUACUGCCAUGGCUAGAGUCCGGUAGGGGACCAUGGAAUUCCUGGUGUAGCGGUGAAAUGCGCAGAUAUCAGGAGGAACACCAGUAGCGAAGGCGGUGGUCUGGGCCGGUACUGACACUGAGGAGCGAAAGCGUGGGGAGCGAACAGG
Molecule: ribosomal RNA, 254 nt
Filed under: uncultured bacterium
Lineage: Bacteria
Description: partial 16S ribosomal RNA
Rfam family: Bacterial small subunit ribosomal RNA
Source: RNAcentral